CCUACGUGUGGCAGCAGUGGGGAAUAUUGGGCAAUGGGCGAAAGCCUGACCCAGCAACGCCGCGUGAAGGAAGAAGGCUUUCGGGUUGUAAACUUCUUUUGACAGGGAAGAGCAGAAGACGGUACCUGUCGAAUAAGCCACGGCUAACUACGUGCCAGCAGCCGCGGUAAUACGUAGGGGGCAAGCGUUAUCCGGAAUUACUGGGUGUAAAGGGAGCGUAGACGGUGAUGCAAGUCUGGAGUGAAAGGCGGGGGCCCAACCCCCGGACUGCUCUGGAAACUGUGUAACUUGAGUGCAGGAGAGGUAAGCGGAAUUCCUAGUGUAGCGGUGAAAUGCGUAGAUAUUAGGAGGAACACCAGUGGCGAAGGCGGCUUACUGGACUGUAACUGACGUUGAGGCUCGAAAGCGUGGGGAGCAAACAGGAUUAGAUACCCGAGUAGUC
This 442-nucleotide ribosomal RNA is filed under the name uncultured bacterium. RNAcentral describes it as "partial 16S ribosomal RNA". It matches the Rfam family "Bacterial small subunit ribosomal RNA", at positions 338 to 795 of the family's 1533-position model. The record is from RNAcentral.